AAUGAAUGUUGGCGGCGUGGAUUAGGCAUGCAAGUCGAGCGAACAGAGGGGGCUUGCCCCCGAAGUGAGCGGCGAAAGGGAGAGCAAUAUAUGGAUUAUCUGCCCUCAGGAUCGGGAUAGCUACGGGAAACUGUAGGUAAUACCGAAUAAUAUCUCCGGAUCAAAGGUGAGAUUCCGCCUGAGGAUGAGUUCAUAUCCUAUUAGCUUGUUGGUGGGGUAAUGGCCUACCAAGGCUAAGAUGGGUACCGGGCGUGAGAGCGUGACCCGGCUCACUGGGACUGAGACACUGCCCAGACACCUACGGGUGGCUGCAGUCGAGAAUCUUCGGCAAUGGACGAAAGUCUGACCGAGCGACGCCGCGUGUAUGAUGAAGGCCUUCGGGUUGUAAAGUACUGUAAGUUGGGAGGAAGUGUAUGGGGUUCUCCCCUAUAUUUGACCUAUCUUCAAAGUAAGCUCGGGCUAAGUUCGUGCCAGCAGCCGCGGUAACAC
This 489-nucleotide ribosomal RNA is filed under the name uncultured bacterium. RNAcentral describes it as "bacterial SSU rRNA". It matches the Rfam family "Bacterial small subunit ribosomal RNA", at positions 29 to 526 of the family's 1533-position model. The record is from RNAcentral.